Molecule: unclassified non-coding RNA, 56 nt
Filed under: Mus musculus (house mouse)
Lineage: Eukaryota; Metazoa; Chordata; Mammalia; Rodentia; Muridae
Description: partial probably derived from hnRNA or mRNA fragment, protein coding region
Source: RNAcentral
GUGAAAUGGAUGUAAUAUAGGGUUUGUCGAAUGCUUUUAACUCCUUCCAUGGUCUU